UUACGAUAGCUGUUUAUUUUACAUAACAAAUCCUUUUGUGGAAAACCACGGUUUUUCUUCGGAAAACGAGAAGAAAUUCGCUUUACUUGGAUGGAAACAAACGAGCACAGCCUGUUCUUAAGGAUUCGAAAGAUCAACAAAUAUCUACAAUAUUAAAGAUGACCUUUCAAUGGAUCUCACAGACAGGAAAUGUUUAAAGAGCAAGAUAAGAAAAUGAAUCAACAACAAUAACCAGACCUAAAGAAGUAAAGAAAACGAAGGAGAAGGCACACAAAAUUAUAUGCAAGAAAAAUCACCGGAGCAAGAUAUAGCAUUUUUGGUCUGUUUCUAAUUACUAAUAAACAGUUACCAAUGAAAACAAUUAUAAUAUUA
This is a long non-coding RNA of Anthonomus grandis grandis, 372 nucleotides long. RefSeq lists it as uncharacterized. The record is from RefSeq and is a predicted model, not a curated record. The transcript is spliced from 2 exons. Lineage: Eukaryota; Metazoa; Arthropoda; Insecta; Coleoptera; Curculionidae.